UCCCAGGUAGCUUUCUGUCUCCACAUG
This 27-nucleotide non-coding RNA is filed under the name Rattus norvegicus (Norway rat). Lineage: Eukaryota; Metazoa; Chordata; Mammalia; Rodentia; Muridae. The record is from RNAcentral.